AGUGAACGCUGGCGGUAGGCCUAACACAUGCAAGUCGAACGGCAGCACAGUAAGAGCUUGCUCUUACGGGUGGCGAGUGGCGGACGGGUGAGGAAUACACCGGAAUCUACUUUUUCGUGGGGGAUAACGUAGGGAAAAUUACGCUAAUACCGCAUACGACAUCCGGGUGAAAGCAGGGGUUCUUCGGACCUUGCGCGAUUGAAUGAGCCGAUGUCGGAUUAGCUAGUUGGCGGGGUAAAGGCCCACCAAGGCGACGAUCCGUGGCUGGUCGGAGAGGAGGGUCAGCCACCCUGGAACUGAGACACGGUCCAGACUCCUACGGGAGGCAGCAGUGGGGAAUAUUGGACUAGGGGCGCGAGCCUGAUCCGGCCCUGCCGCGUGGGUGGAGGAGGCCUUCGGGUUGUAAAGCCCUUCUGUUGGGAAAGAAAAGCAGCAAGUUAAUACCCCGCUGUUCUGACGGUACCCAAUGAAUAAGCACCGGCUAACUUCGUG
Molecule: ribosomal RNA, 492 nt
Filed under: uncultured bacterium
Lineage: Bacteria
Description: partial 16S ribosomal RNA
Rfam family: Bacterial small subunit ribosomal RNA
Source: RNAcentral